This 1437-nucleotide long non-coding RNA is filed under the name Anas platyrhynchos platyrhynchos (common mallard). RNAcentral's name for it is "lncRNA (ENSAPLG00000022057.1)". The record is from RNAcentral. Lineage: Eukaryota; Metazoa; Chordata; Aves; Anseriformes; Anatidae.
GAAGAGGAGGAUUAGAGCGGCUUAAGCCGGGCAGGGCGGCAGGGAGGGGGCUGGGGGUAAAGCCGCCGCCUCCAGCCGGCGGAUUUCCAGGCGGCAGCCCCUAAUCCCGGAGCGGGUGGCGAAGUGGGGCAGCGGUGGGGGUGAGGAGGGGAGAAGGUAGAGGGGGGUGUUAACGGCCAACGGCCGCUCCCUAACGGCGCCAACGGCUGUCAGCGCCCGGGAAUGCGCGGCCGCCGCCGCCGCCGUCCGAAUCACCCCGCCACUGCCUCGGUCCCGCCCCCCCAGCCUCCCCAGACCAGCCAAUCGGCGGCGGCGGAGCGGCGGGGGCUCGUCGCGAUUGGCUGGCCUCCUGCCAAUCUCCUGUGAACGGGAUGGCGCGGGGUGAUAGUGACCGCACCUGGUUACGCGCACCCCCCACGUCCCGCCCCCCCCCCAGGCGGACUACAUAUCCCAGAGAGCACUGCGGCACGUUCCCGCGCAGGGAGGAGGUGGCCGCGCGGCGAGAGGUGCUUGACAGAACAAAUACACUCUUCCAAUAGCUUCCUUGGUCAAGAUUAAUCAUAACUGAGGAGAACAUGUGAGAAUGAAUCAGUAAUACCGUAACUGUGCAGAGAUUAUACAUGGAGCAUGCAUAUUGGCUGGAGGACGCAUAUAGCUUGAAACAGGAAUAGAGUAACAAGAUACGGGAUCCUCUGAGGAAGAACAGCAUGCACCAAAGCAAGAGCAGCAUGCAGCUCAGCAUCCGGAGCAGCAGGCAGAAGGUAAUUAAUGUUCCCCUUACUUCUUUUGCUGAAAUCUGUCAUCAUUACGGACAUGAAGCUGCUUUAAAAACUUCAGGAAAUGAUAAGUUACAAAUAUACUGUCCCAUUGGAUGGACUUAACUUGCAUGGUGAUUAAGGAUGAAUGCUGCUACUAACCCAAGUUUUCUAGCACAUUUUCUCGGCAAAAUGUACUCCAUCUUUCUCUUUUCAUCUUUCUCUCACCACCCCCUUCUUUCUGUUAAAAUAUACUGAUUUAAUCACUAUUAAAACUUCAACCUUGUGUCCUUUUGAAAUAUGAAAAAAAAAUGAACUCUCUCUCUACUCAGUGCAUGACAUCAGUCCCAUCAUGGAUUUGUUAGGUUUCUAAAUGCGUACCUUUGUGCAUUCUCCCCAGAUACCAUUAACUAUAUGAGGAAGUCAUCUGUAGGCACCAGCAAGAAAUUUCAUUAUUCCUUUUAAAAUCUUUCUUUAAAAUUCUCCUUUACCAGUAUGCCAACAAAAAUGUAGAUUUUAAUUGCAAGCCUCUCUCACUGAUAGAUCUUGCUUCUGAUCUGUUCACUAUCUCCUUCUACAAAGAGACAUCAAGGUUUCAGGGGAAAUUGCCUUGUUUUUGUUCAAAAUGCUUUCAGCUCAAGGACCCUGGCAUUUUACAAUAAUAAACACCAUGAUUAAUGCA